GUGGUAAUGCCGGAUGCUCCAGUUGAUCGCAUGGUCUUCUGGGAAAGCUUUCGCGGUAUGGGAUGGGGUCGCGUCCUAUCAGCUUGACGGCGGGGUAACGGCCCACCGUGGCUUCGACGGGUAGCCGGCCUGAGAGGGCGACCGGCCACAUUGGGACUGAGAUACGGCCCAGACUCCUACGGGAGGCAGCAGUGGGGAAUAUUGCACAAUGGGCGCAAGCCUGAUGCAGCGACGCCGCGUGAGGGAUGGAGGCCUUCGGGUUGUAAACCUCUUUUAUCGGGGAGCAAGCGAGAGUGAGUUUACCCGUUGAAUAAGCACCGGCUAACUACGUGCCAGCAGCCGCGGUAAUACGUAGGGUGCAAGCGUUAUCCGGAAUUAUUGGGCGUAAAGGGCUCGUAGGCGGUUCGUCGCGUCCGGUGUGAAAGUCCAUCGCUUAACGGUGGAUCCGCGCCGGGUACGGGCGGGCUUGAGUGCGGUAGGGGAGA
Molecule: ribosomal RNA, 485 nt
Filed under: Bifidobacterium longum subsp. infantis
Lineage: Bacteria; Bacillati; Actinomycetota; Actinomycetes; Bifidobacteriales; Bifidobacteriaceae
Also listed under: 1 other name
Description: bacterial SSU rRNA
Rfam family: Bacterial small subunit ribosomal RNA
Source: RNAcentral